CAACUUUUAACAAUGGAUCUCUAGGCUCUUGCAUCGAUGAAGAACGCAGCUAAUUGCGAAAAGUAAUGUGAAUUGCAGAAUUCCGUGAAUCAUCGAAUCUUUGAACGCACAUUGCACUCUCUGGUAUUCCGGAGAGUAUGCCUAUUUGAGUAUCAAUAUU
Molecule: ribosomal RNA, 160 nt
Filed under: Schizangiella serpentis
Lineage: Eukaryota; Fungi; Basidiobolomycota; Basidiobolomycetes; Basidiobolales; Basidiobolaceae
Also listed under: 1 other name
Description: 5.8S ribosomal RNA
Rfam family: 5.8S ribosomal RNA
About the family: 5.8S ribosomal RNA (5.8S rRNA) is a component of the large subunit of the eukaryotic ribosome. It is transcribed by RNA polymerase I as part of the 45S precursor that also contains 18S and 28S rRNA.
Source: RNAcentral